Molecule: ribosomal RNA, 425 nt
Filed under: uncultured bacterium
Lineage: Bacteria
Description: partial 16S ribosomal RNA
Rfam family: Bacterial small subunit ribosomal RNA
Source: RNAcentral
GUGGGGAAUAUUGGACAAUGGGCGCAAGCCUGAUCCAGCCAUGCCGCGUGAGUGAUGAAGGCCUUAGGGUUGUAAAGCUCUUUUGUCCGGGAAGAUAAUGACUGUACCGGAAGAAUAAGCCCCGGCUAACUUCGUGCCAGCAGCCGCGGUAAUACGAAGGGGGCUAGCGUUGCUCGGAAUCACUGGGCGUAAAGGGCGCGUAGGCGGACUUUUAAGUCGGAGGUGAAAGCCCAGGGCUCAACCCUGGAAUUGCCUUCGAUACUGGGAGUCUUGAGUUCGGAAGAGGUUGGUGGAACUGCGAGUGUAGAGGUGAAAUUCGUAGAUAUUCGCAAGAACACCGGUGGCGAAGGCGGCCAACUGGUCCGAAACUGACGCUGAGGCGCGAAAGCGUGGGGAGCAAACAGGAUUAGAAACCCGUGUAGUCC